AUGUUAUAUGUGUCAUACGAGACUGCCGGUAAAAGACCGGAGGAAGGUGAGGAUGAUGUCAAGUCAGCAUGACCUUUAUAUCCAGGGCUACACACACGCUACAAUGGUCUGUACAAUGGGUAGCCAAGCCGCGAGGCGGAGCCAAUCCUGAAAGACAGGCCUCAGUUCAGAUUGCAGUCUGCAACUCGACUGUAUGAAGCCGGAGUUGCUAGUAACCGCAGGUCAGCAAUACUGCGGUGAAUACGUUCCCGGGUCUU
This 257-nucleotide ribosomal RNA is filed under the name uncultured Anaerolineaceae bacterium. RNAcentral describes it as "partial 16S ribosomal RNA". It matches the Rfam family "Bacterial small subunit ribosomal RNA", at positions 1112 to 1382 of the family's 1533-position model. Lineage: Bacteria; Bacillati; Chloroflexota; Anaerolineae; Anaerolineales; Anaerolineaceae. The record is from RNAcentral.